CAGUAGCCGCGGUAAUACAGAGGGUGCAAGCGUUAAUCGGAUUUACUGGGCGUAAAGGGCGCGUAGGUGGUUAUGUAAGUGAGAUGUGAAAUCCCCGGGCUCAACCCGAAGUCUGCACGGGAAACCACUGGGCUUGAGUAAUGGAGAGGUGAGUGGAAUUUCCGGUGUAGCGGUGAAAUGCGUAGAUAUCGGAAGGAACACCUGUGGCGAAAGCGGCUUACUGGACAUUUACUGACGCUGAUGCACGAAAGCUAGGGGAGCAAACAGGAUUAGAUACCCGCGUAGUCCCUGUCUCUUAUAC
This 301-nucleotide ribosomal RNA is filed under the name uncultured bacterium. RNAcentral describes it as "partial 16S ribosomal RNA". It matches the Rfam family "Bacterial small subunit ribosomal RNA", at positions 509 to 807 of the family's 1533-position model. The record is from RNAcentral.